This is a long non-coding RNA of Ipomoea nil (Japanese morning glory), 761 nucleotides long. RefSeq lists it as uncharacterized. The record is from RefSeq and is a predicted model, not a curated record. The transcript has 3 exons. NCBI's taxonomy places the organism in Eukaryota, Viridiplantae, Streptophyta, Magnoliopsida, Solanales, Convolvulaceae.
GAAAAAGGGUGAAAAAUGAAAGCUCUUUGACAAGCAUUAACUCUUACUACUUUUAUGUGAUUUGGAGGCAUCUAUUGUAACAUCGUGUAAAUUGGAGCUCAAUUGGAUGUGUUUUGAAGUCAUCUUGGCAUCAAAGGCGUGUUCUGGGGAGUCAUGAGAGAUCAAGAAAGUGAAAAAGACCAAGUUGGAAGUAUCAUGACAUAACCCGAGACCCAAAGGAACAAAAGAUCAGGGCUCACGCUAACACUCGGGCCGUACAAAGGACCAAAACAAGGACAAAAUGAUCAAGGGAUGAGCCAAAAUAGGAAGAAUGUGGGAUUGGAUCAUCACCCGACGCAUUACCAGUACCACGUGACCGACCUCGUGACACAAACUUCUGCGAGCUUGAUCUGCUAGCCACGCAGCACAUCACGCAGUAAAAGAGGUCGUGACAUGAACUUCUACGCGCUAGUUUUGCCUCGUCAUGCAGGCCAUUACCAUGUGGUGGCCUGCGUGACACUCGGGCACUACUGAGUGGUGAGCUGAGUGCGGCUGAAGGAAAAUCUGCAGCUAUAAAUAAGGCUUUGCUCUUAUUUGUUAGGAGAUAGUUUUUUACAGUUUUUUCAAUCUUGUACUUUAGAUUUUAGAGAGAGAAUCCUCAUGAGGAUUCUUAGAAUAAUUUGACACCUUGAUCUAAGAAUUCUUAGGGGGAUUUCAACUACAAUUGAUUGAAGAUUUUCUUGGAGAUUGAAGAUUGUGUUUUCAAAGCUAAGUAUUCAUUU